UCACCAGAGAGUCCCAGUCCUUCAUCAUGACCGAAGAGUCCUUCACCAUCCUCCUCAUCCUCACAGAGCUCCUGUCCUUCAUGGUCACUGGAGAGUCCCAGUCCUUCAUCAUGGUCACCAGAGUCCCAGUCCUUCAUCAUGGUCACCAAGAGUCCUUCACCAUCAUCAUCAUCCCUGGAGAGUCCUCGUCCUUCAUCCUGGUCCCUGCUAGUCCUUCAUCAUGGUCACCGAAGAGUCCUUCACCAUCAUCAUCAUCACCAGAGAGUCCUCGUCCUUCAUCACCACUCAAGUCCUUCAUCAUCAUCACCGGAAAGUCCUCAGAGCAUCCCCAUCCUUCACCACCAUCCUCAUCACCCCGUCCCCUCUCCGUUGUCACCAGAAGUCCCCUUGUCACCUCUGAGCCACCGUCCCCUCCGUGUCCCCCCCCGUGUCCCCCCCUCCCCCACCGGGGGUGACACCACCACUAAAUUAUUGCAGCCCCCCGGGCACCAAUUUGCUCCCGUUUCCACCCAAAACCACCAGCCCAGCUGCAGGGGCCCCAUCCCCCGUGUCCCCAACUGGGGGCUCUCCUGUCCCCUCAUGUCCCCUCCCCCCCCAAAUCCAUCCUGGUUUUGGUUUGUUUUUUUCCCUUUUUAUGCUUUUUUUUUCGUUUUUUUCCUUUUUUUUUCAUAUUGAAAAGCCACGCCCGGGCGAGGAAUAAACCCGGGAUGUAAAGCCACCACCGUGUCCCUUGUCCCCUUCCUGUCCCCAUGGUCCUCCUGGGGUCCUCCAGCUCCACUUUGGGGUCCCCUCUAGGUCCCUUCA
RNAcentral lists this long non-coding RNA (804 nucleotides) under Otus sunia (Oriental scops-owl). RNAcentral's name for it is "lncRNA (ENSOSUG00000004363.1)". The record is from RNAcentral. Lineage: Eukaryota; Metazoa; Chordata; Aves; Strigiformes; Strigidae.